AAAAAAAAGUUUUUCUUUCAGUGAGGGGGUGGAGUUGAAGUGUUAGAAAUCCAGGCCAAAGGAUUACUUCACAUUUCUUCUAAGGAAUUAAACCUUUUUUUUCUUUUUUUCUUUUUUUUAAAAAAAAAGUCUAUUUUGUAUUACUCAGCAGUUCUUUUUUGCUUUUUAUUCUUCUAUGGAAAGUUCUCUUUUUUUUUUUUUUUUCCCUAAUAAAGUGUUUAUUACACAGUCCUGCACACUCACAUGUACACACGCGUACACACAAAUGACAGAGCUCUUUAUAAAGAGAAAAUCAGGCUGGCGCUGCAAAAGUGCAGAGAAGAUCUUUCGCUAAAAUGAUCUCAAGAUGCAGCUGCUGAAAAACAAAUGGAGGUCAGCAGCAGCUGAAGGCCUGUGUUGGUUGAACAAUCUGCUGAGGACUGUUCCAGGACCGUCCAGAGAAAAUAAUAAGUUGCUGCCUGCCCUCUUCCUGGUGGUAUAUGUAUCAGGCAGAGAUGUGUUAAUCAGCUUUAUGAAGUUUGACCGUAGCGAGCCUCCUGCCUGUAUUCAGUCAAUCAGCGUUCGGCCUGAUGGUGCAGUUCUCCUCUUCUCUGUUCCACUGGUUGAGUUCAUUGUUCCAAUAUCCUUGGUGGAGUCGUCCGGGAAGGGAUCUGCACGAGGUCAGAGUGCCUCUGUUUCAUCCUUCUCGUAA
Long non-coding RNA from Anser brachyrhynchus (Pink-footed goose), 691 nucleotides. The record is from Ensembl. NCBI's taxonomy places the organism in Eukaryota, Metazoa, Chordata, Aves, Anseriformes, Anatidae.